GGGGGGGCGGCGGUGAAGAAUCGGGGCUGAGAGAAGGAAAGAACGCCGAAUGUGAAUGCUACGGAGGUGUUUAAGAACCAAGCUUGGAAGCCUGGAGGGCUCAGGUGGGUUCGUGUCUUGAAAAAUGCCAAUUAAAGAAAAAAAAGAAACCUGGGAGCCCAACUCCAGGGGAAUGGUUAAAGUUUUACAGCGCCUCCCCUCCGGAUACUCACCCUUCGUGAUGAAUUUGCGAGCGCCUGCCUGCAGGCCAGGGCUGUGAGUAGCAGAGAAGGAAGACACCAACUCCUCGCCCUAUAGGACUUAAUAGCCAACUCAUAUAAUAAUUACUGUUUACGAGACACUGUUGUCCUUCAGCUGUCAAACACCACCACCAAAUAGGUGCUAUUAUCAUCCUGUUUGGCAGAUGAAGAAACUGAGGCACAACUGAGGCCAUCCAGAGCACCCGGGUGGCUCAGCCCUUACGCAUCUGACUU
Molecule: long non-coding RNA, 473 nt
Organism: Suricata suricatta (meerkat)
Lineage: Eukaryota; Metazoa; Chordata; Mammalia; Carnivora; Herpestidae
Exons: 3
Source: RefSeq, a predicted model, not a curated record